GAUGAACGCUGGCGGCGUGCCUAAUACAUGCAAGUCGAGCGAACAGACGAGGAGCUUGCUCCUCUGACGUUAGCGGCGGACGGGUGAGUAACACGUGGAUAACCUACCUAUAAGACUGGGAUAACUUCGGGAAACCGGAGCUAAUACCGGAUAAUAUAUUGAACCGCAUGGUUCAAUAGUGAAAGACGGUUUUGCUGUCACUUAUAGAUGGAUCCGCGCCGCAUUAGCUAGUUGGUAAGGUAACGGCUUACCAAGGCAACGAUGCGUAGCCGACCUGAGAGGGUGAUCGGCCACACUGGAACUGAGACACGGUCCAGACUCCUACGGGAGGCAGCAGUAGGGAAUCUUCCGCAAUGGGCGAAAGCCUGACGGAGCAACGCCGCGUGAGUGAUGAAGGUCUUCGGAUCGUAAAGCUCUGUUAUUAGGGAAGAACAAAUGUGUAAGUAACUAUGCACGUCUUGACGGUACCUAAUCAGAAAGCCCCGGCUAACUACGUG
Molecule: ribosomal RNA, 497 nt
Filed under: uncultured bacterium
Lineage: Bacteria
Description: partial 16S ribosomal RNA
Rfam family: Bacterial small subunit ribosomal RNA
Source: RNAcentral